AACGAACGCUGGCGGCAUGCCUAACACAUGCCAGUCGAACGAGACCUUCGGGGCUAGUGGCGCACGGGUGCGGAACGCGUGGGAACCUGCCCUUAGGUUCGGAAUAACUCCCCGAAAGGGGUGCUAAUAACGGAUAAUGUCUUCGGACCAAAGAUUUAUCGCCUUUGGAUGGGCCCGCGUUGGAUUAGCUAGUUGGUAGGGUAAAAGCCUACCAAGGCGACGAUCCAUAGCUGGUCUGAGAGGAUGAUCAGCCACACUGGGACUGAGACACGGCCCAGACUCCUACGGGAGGCAGCAGUGGGGAAUAUUGGACAAUGGGCGAAAGCCUGAUCCAGCAAUGCCGCGUGAGUGAUGAAGGCCUUAGGGUUGUAAAGCUCUUUUACCCGGGAUGAUAAUGACAGUACCGGGAGAAUAAGCUCCGGCUAACUCCGCG
Molecule: ribosomal RNA, 433 nt
Filed under: uncultured bacterium
Lineage: Bacteria
Description: partial 16S ribosomal RNA
Rfam family: Bacterial small subunit ribosomal RNA
Source: RNAcentral